Canis lupus familiaris (dog) is the source of this 1842-nucleotide long non-coding RNA. RefSeq lists it as uncharacterized. The record is from RefSeq and is a predicted model, not a curated record. The transcript is spliced from 5 exons. NCBI's taxonomy places the organism in Eukaryota, Metazoa, Chordata, Mammalia, Carnivora, Canidae.
AUCUUAUUAUCAUUGACAGAUGUAAAACUACUUUCUUCGAUGUGGGAAGACAGUAAAAUAUAAUGUAAUGUGUGUGUGCAUCCUAUUCUCAGAGAGAAGACCUAUCAAACAGUCACAAGAGUCUUAAUGCAGAGAACUCCUGAAUACAUUAGGGAUAUGAAAAAUGUGAAUAUGGUUGAAAACACAUGAACUGUAUUGUCCUGGAGCUGUUUUCUCUCAACAUAUAAAUGAAGACGUUCCUCCUUCCUUAAUUCAUUAAACCUUCAGAAAUCUUUAUGGAACAAGUACUAUCUAUGUGCCAAUCACUGGAGAGAGAACCAUGAAGCAUGCAGAAGCUUGGCCUCCUGCAGCAUUUAUUCUGAUGAGAUAAUUUACAUCUAAAUAAGUGACCUAAUAAAAAACAAAGCAUGUUAAAGGACUGAAGAGUAAUGAGUGGGCCACUGAUUUCUGGAGCCCAGAGGCAUUGAAGAGAAGCCUGGGUACUUUUGAGGUCCAAAUAAAGAGACCUGAUAAGAAUCUUUCUAUCCUCUGCAGAGGGUGGAGAUGCUGUUGACUUCCACUACCUAUGGGACUAUUGUGGCCUGACCCUCUGCAGUCCAACAAAGAAAAGAAUAAUGGAUCUAAAAGAGACCAACAUUCAAGUAAAGAAUGGCCAGAAUGCAUCUAGAGAAGUAAAACUGCUGAGGGAUUGAGAUGACAGUUGGUUAAAAAUAAUGAGAAUAUGUAAAGGAAUUCAAGUAUAAAGUACACUCAGGGAAAGGAUGUUUGUAGAUUAACAACAUGAUUUAUCCACCAAACAAUACCAGAGGAUUAAAGACAAAAAUAUCUGAGAAACUAUCAUCCAAGCACUCCAUCUGAAAGAAAAAGUAGUAAAGUGUCUUAACUAAAGGAAUCAGAAUAGAAACUAAAAGAUGGCAGAACAGAACAAGAGCAUGUGUGUACAAGAAGAGCACGGAAUGAGGAACCAAAGACCUAGCUAGAGCCAUUUGCAGUAAUCAAGCUGGGAAUUUAAGAAACAAAGGUUCUAAUGUACAAAUAACUAGUUCAACUCUUUAAUGUGAAUUAGCCUAUCUUCUCUGGGAUAGACAAUCUCUUCUAAAAAUCUUUAUUAAUGUAGGAAACUGGACUAUUUGGCUACACCAUGUUUCGAUCCAUAGAUUGCUUGGAGUUAUGUGGCCAACCUGGCAAGGAAGUUUACACUGUUUUCCAUCUUAUUCCAGUUUUGUCUAGGAAAAUGAGCUUCCCAGAAAAAUGAAGACAGAUUUUUCUCAAUAAGUAACAUAGUAAUGUUUUCUUCAUUCAUAAUCUCCAAACACCCCAAAGUAACCAACAGUGUAUCAUCAUGCAAUGAGAUUUAAACAUUGAAAGAACACUUGCCAGGAAAUGCAACUCAAAAUUAAAAUACAAAUAAUAACAAAAUAGAAUACUUUGUGUAACAAGAGGGUAAGAUAUGUCCAGAUAACCUGACUUAGGUUAAUUUAAAUUGUUCUUGAGAGAAGAAAGGAAAAUAAGAACUAUCCAAAUCCAUUUUUGUGGUCAUAAACACAGUAUGACAAAUGUCCUACCUUCAAGAAAACAUCUUGUGCUGAACAUUCCACAGAAAUAGAAAUGAGCCCGCAUAUUUGUGUUUAUACUCAGCUACCGCAUUGUGUAUCCACAGACAGUAUCACACUGGGUUUUGAUUGAUGCUUCCAUUAAAAUGGCUUGUGCUGUCAUUUUGUGUUCCCAUUCUUACCUAAACGAACAAUCGAUUUCUUUUAAUGUAGAAAAGCAAAGGGAAUAUAGAACUUACAUGAUAUAAUCUUCUUUAAACUAAAAUCAUAUAUUUUAUAGAUGUGCUGG